Molecule: non-coding RNA, 71 nt
Organism: Candidatus Buchananbacteria bacterium
Lineage: Bacteria; Candidatus Buchananiibacteriota
Source: Rfam
GGGGGAAUAGUUCAAUGGUAGAACAUCGGUCUCCAAAACCGAGGAUGAGGGUUCAAUUCCUUCUUCCCCUG